Long non-coding RNA from Psammomys obesus (fat sand rat), 1947 nucleotides. RefSeq lists it as uncharacterized. The transcript has 3 exons. The record is from RefSeq and is a predicted model, not a curated record. Lineage: Eukaryota; Metazoa; Chordata; Mammalia; Rodentia; Muridae.
CUGGAAACUUGAGAAACUGCACCUGUCUUGGUCCGAGGAUACUGUCCCAGGGAUCAUCCUAAGUAUCACCAAACAGGGUCUUCGCUAGAUCCCAUUAACCUUGUGACCCUCCCUAGGAGUUAGAUUCACAGUUAGAGUGAGAAUAAUAAUCCCCAAACCCCAGAAUUAUGCAAAUCAGGUAUAAGAAUAAAAAAAAAGUGUUCAGUCUAGGUGUAAAUAUGGGUGAUCACGGCUGAGGAAUACAGAUGUAAGUCACUUCAAAGUCCACUGUGAAAGAAAGUUUAUGCCAUUUUUAUAGUAACACGAUAAGAAAGUAAUAAAUUAAGACACUUUUGAAAGUGGGAAUAUGGAAGAGGUGGGUUACAACACAGAAAGGAAAUAUGUCAGAGGCCUCAUGUUAGGGGAACAUGUUAGACCUUAGCAUCUGUGUUAGCUGAAACUAGUGGCCUGCUAAGUUAAUACAUUCUAAAGGAGAACUAGUACUCUGCUUGUACAAUCCAAAUGAUUUAACUAGUUGCGACACAGCUGUUAUGUCAGGUACAGAGGAAGGCAAUAUAUAGCCUUUGAUGAAGCUAGAUACGUCCAGGAUAAUUUGGUUCUGGACCUGCAACAUGCCAAACUACAAUUCAUUAAUGCUAAGAAGAUAAAGAAGCAUUUAGAAAGGUUACGUUUGAAUGUUCAUCUUCUUUGUGGAAUCUUUUGUUCAUAAAACCAAGUGUCAUUUGGCACUGAGCACAAAUUCUAACCCACUCUUUCUACAAGGGCAACUUGCUGAGUUAGGGCCAACAGGGAACUAGAUAUCUUUUUUUCCGUGUCUUCCACUUUGAAGAAGUGGAAGAAGUUGGGAUAGGGAACGAAUUCAAACUGGGCUUAGAAGUCUACAGAUGGGCCAAAUAGAGACCCCUGAUGACAAACCGUGUCCUCUCUGUUUCCCCUGCCCCUUGAUUUCCAGAAAAGAAGACAACAGACACUGCUAAAGUACUUGUAUUUGUGCUCCUUGGAACCAAACUGCUGCUGGCAAUUGGUGUCUCUUCCAUCUACCUUCACAAGAAGCAGAAGGCCUAACUAAAACCCUGAAUAUCUGACAUCACCUUUCUUUGAGAGGCUCAACAUAGAAGGAGAAGAAGCUGGUGAGACACGCUGGAAGCUCCUGUCAGACUCAUCCUGGUAGGGUGACUGACACGUCUGAGGAAUUGGGGCGGAUAUCCCAGAGGAUGUUCUUCCAUUAGAAUCUGCCCGAUGCCACCGAUCUACUGGAGGCAAAGUAGGGACCUGGUACUCCAGAUAAGACCCCUCCCGCAGAUAUCCAGCACUUCCUCAGGGUUGCCCAGCUUACACAACAGCAUCUCCUGCUCUCAUCUCUAUAUCCUUGCCCACAACUCUGACAGAAGCCCACUGCUCUACUCAAGACCUCACUUGUACCCAGAAUCCCAGGUAAGUCCCACUCACAGCCUGCCAACAGUCUUUAGAGACCACCCAGCUCCCAAAUAGCAACCCUUUCCCCUCGUCUCCAUAUCCCUCCCCACUCCAGCACAAGUGCCCUGCUCUUCUGGAGCCACACUGUUAACCGGAACCCCAGGUAAGACCCUACCUGCAGACACCCAGUGCUUUCUUAGAGCCCGCCCAGAUUCCCCAACAAUACCCCCUUACCUUGUCUCCAGACUCAGGCUCAUUACUCUGACAAAAGCCCCUUCCUCUUCCAGAGGCCACACCAAUUCCUUGAACCCCAGAAUCCUUCUUUUCUACCAGAGGCAUGUCUGGUGUUUGGAACCCCAGAUAUCAUGUCGAUAUCUGAAACCCCAGAGUUCAAGCUGGUACCCAGAACCGUAGGAACUCACUGAUCUACCAGAGGCCACACUAGUACCUGGAGCCACUGGUGCCAUGCCAGCUCCCAGAUCCUCAGAACCUUCUUAAAAUACCAGGAAAUAAAUGCCAGAAAGAACAUUA